CUGACGACAAACAUGGCGCCGAGCCGUGCUCCCGACGUGUAUAAUCGCGCUCGGUGUUUAAUGUGUCCACUUGUGAUCGCGCUAGUUUCGCUCCUUCAUUCGAGUGCCGUGAGUGGGAGUGAUGAAUCUUUCCCCGUGGCCAAGUAUUUGGACUACAAUGCGACCACAACUUUGUUGCACGAACUUGCUAACAAGCAUCAUUCGCUAGCGUCUGUUUACAGCAUCGGCAAGAGUGUGAAGGGACGCGAGCUAUGGGUGCUGAAGAUCACCACCGAUGCUCACGUACGGAGCAUUGGCAAGCCUCUGUUCAGGUACACGGCCAAUAUCCACGGCAACGAGGCUUUGGGGCGCCAACUUCUCUUGUAUCUUGCGGAAUACAUGUUGGAAAACUAUGGCACCGACAGCCGCAUCACGCGGCUCGUCAACAACACAGAAUUGCAUUUCUGUCCAUCGCUUAACCCGGACGGAUACGCGAAUGCUAGCGAAGGUGACUGCGAGGGAGCCAGUCGAGACUCGGGUCGCUUUAACAGCCAUAUUGUGGACUUGAACGGUAACUUCCCAGGUAGCGAAACCGACCUGACAAAGAUGACAGUGGGCAGAGAGCCGGAGACCUUAGCUAUCAUGAAAUGGUCAGUUCUCAAUCCUUUCGUUCUUUCGGGAAGUCUGCACAGCGGACUGGUCGUUGCCGUGUACCCAUAUGACUUCCGCUCGCCCGAAGCGCCAAUGGACAGCCCCAACCUGACCCCCGAUGACGACGUGUUUCGACAUCUGGCGGGUACAUACGCGAGGACACACAGUGACAUGUUUCGAAGCCCUCAGUGCCAGGAGUAUUUUGACGGCGGCAUCACCAACGGUGCCGAAUGGAUUCCUGUGUCAGGGAGCAUGCAGGAUUUCAGCUACAUCUACACAAAUUGCUAUGAAGUCACCCUAGAGAUAUCCUGUUGCAAGUAUCCAAUGGCAAACACGCUUGUCAGCGAAUGGGAAAAAAACAAAAAUGCCCUCUUGAGCUACAUGGAACAGGUUCACAUGGGUGUGAAAGGAGUGGUAAAAGAAUUUGGCACAGGCAAGGCUGUUCCUAAAGCUACAGUCAUCGUGCAAGGCAUCAACCACAAUAUAACCACUACAGAAAGAGGAGAGUUCUGGAGGCUUCUGCUUCCUGGCCAGUAUGCUCUCCAUGUGUCCAGCCCAGGGUAUGAGAGUACUGUGAGGCAUAAUAUCACUGUGAUGACUGGAGCUGCGACAUGGGUAGAUGUUAUUCUCACACCGGUGCCAUCCACCACCAAACCGCCCAAACAGUAUGCUCCUCUCGAUACGGACUUUGUGUUUUCCACCAAACCCGAGUUCAAGCACCACAAUCAAGAGGAACUGGUUGCCAUCUUCAGAAAUGUUACUAAGAAAUGUCCCACCAUCACUCGACUCUUCAGCAUUGGCAAAUCGGUGGAGGACAGAGAUCUCUACUUCCUUGAGAUUAGUGACAAUCCUGGUCAUCACGAACCAGGUGAACCAGAGUUCAAGUACGUUGCGAAUAUUCAUGGCAAUGAGCCGGUUGGUCGUGAAUCUGUUCUGCUGUUGGCACAGCUCCUCUGUGAGCAGUAUGGCAAGUCUCGCCGCUUGACAACUCUGGUAAACAACACACGCAUCUUCCUAAUGGCCUCAAUGAACCCUGAUGGCUAUACAAGAUCCAACGUCGGCGACUACAACAGUCUAGUGGGCCGAUUCAAUGCUCACAAUGUUGACCUGAACCGCGACUUCCCUGACCAAUAUGAGCCUCACAAGGCACACAACCCACGAGAGCCCGAGACAAGGGCCAUGAUGAACUUCAUAAUGGCGCGGCCUAUAGUGCUGUCGGGCAGCUUGCAUGGAGGUGCUCUGGUCGCCAACUACCCUUACGAUGGCAACAGAGAGAGAGUGGAGCGCAUCUACAGUGCCACACCGGAUGACUCCCUCUUCCGGUACCUGGCUCUUGUCUAUGCCCGGGCUCAUCCAACCAUGAGUCUAGGAAAGCCUUGUUCAAAAGGACCCAAAGAUGAUGCAUUCAAGGAUGGAAUCACAAAUGGAGCAGCAUGGUACAAUGUAUAUGGUGGAAUGCAAGACUUCAACUAUCUGCACAGCAACAGUUAUGAGCUAACAAUUGAAAUGGGCUGCUAUAAGUACCCACCUGCAUCUGACUUGCCAAAAUAUUGGGAUGAACACAAGCAUGCACUUGUAAAAUACAUGGAGAAGGUUCACCAGGGCGUGAAGGGAUUUGUCAAGGAUCAAGAUGGGCUGCCAGUGCCCAAUGCCACAGUCCACGUUCUUGGCAUUCAUCAUGACGUGCGUUCAGCUGUGGAUGGAGACUUCUGGCGUCUUCUCAUGCCUGCGACCUACUCUGUCCGAGCUUACGUUGAUAGUUUUCCUCUGCCAGUACAACGGGUGACUGUUGUGGAAGGCAACGCAACGUGGGUAAAUUUCACCGUUGACCGCCGCUACGCCAAGUGGUCAAGGGAGCAUGACUUCCUUAUUGGUGAAAAUGGAGAACCCAAGUAUCUGGGUGCUGAUGAACUUACCAACCUGUUGAUGCAGCUGCGUCAAAACUACUCUGACAUUGUUGAGGUCAAGGACAGCUUUGGCCCACCUGGUGAAACUGCACUCCAGUUCCUGCGAAUCACGGUGCCGAGCAAAAAAAUGAAGCCAGAGGUCGUACUCAUUGGAGGCCUCAAUGGAGGACGCCCUGCAGGAAGGGAGAUGUUGAUUCGCCUGGCCAGGCACCUUGUCACAGGCUAUAAGCUAAGAUCCCAGCGCAUAGUUGACCUUCUGGAGAAAGUGGUGGUGCACAUCGUCCCCUCAGUGGACAAAGCAGGUUUCAGCCACUCUGAGGAGGGCAUAUGCGACUCUCAACUGUCGGAAGAGCUAAAUAUGGAGGACCGUUUUGGCAAUGAGUUCACUGGCCAAUUCCCCAUUGUGGAAGCCGUCAAAGAGGGCCUGAGCGUGUCACACUAUGUGGCAGGUCUUGUCCUCGACACAGGAGGUGUUGGUGUCAGAAUUGCGCUGAAUGAUACAAAUAGUGGCCUGCUGGACAACAUGACUAUGGAUGGCCUCAUAGCUGGCUUCCGCAAGUACGUGCCUCUGUCCAAGUGUGGAAAAGAGCUGAGACCUGUUCAUGACGGCUCUUUGCUCCAGUAUGCCUACAACAAGCAUGGUACUCUAAUGGCAUCUGUGCUUCUGGACUGCUGUGACUUCCCUGCCAGAAAGGAAAUUCCCAAGCUUUGGAUGCACACACUGCACCCUCUUCUUGAAUUCCUGGAAGCUGCAAAGACAAGCGUCCAUGGCAGUGUGACUGAUGAGUAUGGAACAACACUCACGAAGGCAUCAGUUGGCGUACAUACAAGCAAACGUCCUAUCGAAACGACCAGUGGUGCUUUCUGUCUUGCUGUACCUCCUGGAAAGGUGGUGCUCACAGCGUCUGCAAGUGAAUUUGAGAUGAGGGUGGAGCGGGUGACGGUGUUGUCGGGCGAGGGGACCAGCCUUGUGCUGGUACUUGAGCCAGAUACAUACGAGCGCAAGUACCACAGCUACGCUGAGGCCCUGCAGCUGCUCAGAUACAUCGCCCACAAGUAUCCCAACACCACCUACCUCUACAGCCUGGGCAGCAGUGCAGGCGGGCGGGACCUGCCUGCCCUGGUGCUGGGCGCUACCCCCCGGGUGCACCGGCCAGGUGUCCCCGAGAUCCGGCUGCAGGCUGGCCUGGCCGGGGGCUUCCAGCUGGCUGCCACCGAGAUGCUCCUCCACUUGGCCCACACACUGGCCACCCGCUACAAGCACAACAGCCUCAUCACGCAGAUUAUGGCUUCUGCUAGAAUUCAUGUUGCCCCAAUACUUGAUCCUGAUGGCGUCACCAACUCAUCUAUUGGAAAAUGUGAUGCAAAUGAAUCCACCCCUAGUGGCAGCAAUUUGUUCUAUAUGUUUGAUGGGCGUAGUUCACGUCCGGAGGUUCAAGCUGUGCAACAGUGGACACAACGAUACCACUUUGUCACUUCGCUCAACGUGUUGACUGGCGGCUUGGCACUAGCACUGCCCAAAAGUGCUGGUGCCAUCGACACGGCAGUGCUCAGAAAACUGGCCAAGACUUAUGCAUACCACAAUGAUGACAUGCUUAAUGGGGCCUUUGCCUGUGGGAAAAAGAGCUACAAUUCAUCUGAUGGAAUUUUGACCGAGUCAGCUGACCUAGGACACCUGAAUGGUUCUGUUAUGGACAUCAGCUACAGAGAGACUGGAACCUAUGAGACAGCAGCCUUCAUUUCCUGCUGUCCAGCACCCAACAUUAGCGAGUUCUCUGCUCUCUGGGUUCAGAACAAGCAGUCGAUACUCAACUACCUGCUCCAGGCUACGCAAGGGCUGGUAGGUUACGUGCGUACCAAGAGCCGCGAUCCCAUUUCUGGCGCCAACAUUAGCAUUGAAGGCCAGCCACUGCAUAGGCCAAGUACCAAGCUAGGCGAGUUCUGGGUUCCACUGGGAGAGGGAAGCUACCAGGUGGUGAUCAGUGCCCCCGACUUCUACACCAUGACCAAGAUUGUGGAAGUUUAUGCCGGUCGUAGCACAACGGUUGAGUUCCUCCUGCAAGAGAACAUUGUGAUUGCUGGCCUACCAAAACAUGUAUUUGUUGUUCUUACAGGUUCUCUGGUGUUGCUGCUGAUGGUGAGUGCCCUCUGUCUGUACACUGUGGUGAUGAGCCAGCGACAGCCUGAGAGAGCAGGCUUCAUGCCUGUGCAAAGCAAUGGUGGAACAUUGUUUGACGAUGAUGACGAUGAUGAUGGGAUAGGACCACAGAAGAGGCGCAAAGGUGCCAGCAACAGUGCCUCCGGUGGCAGCGUGCACAGCAAGUUGCUCAAGGCGGCAGAGUACCACGAUGACACUUCCUCCGAGGAUGAAAUCUACAACACCCGCAACUGGAAAAGUAGCGCAAAGUCCAUCUAAUCUGCACUCAGGGCAUUGAUGUUCGAAAAACCCCUUGUCACCACCCCUCUGUGCUGGUGGAGCUUCCAGUCUGCCAGCGUGCUCACCGAGGUGGCAGCAAGGAGCCAGCCAAACUAAAUGCCUGAAUGCCGCCUGCUCAGCUGCCGUAGGCAGAGACUUUCUCCGUGAUUUUGACAACCAGAUGCUUCCAGAGCUUUGCUGCAUUUUAAUCUUUACUUACUACCGAGAGGAAGGAAAUGGAAGCGGCCUGGUGUGCAAACUUGGAGCCUGCUUGCUCACACAAUGAGACAGGAAAUUGACCAGCGCAUGGUAAUGCUGAGCAAAAAUUUUGUGCAUGUACAGCUGCUUGCUUAAUAAGUGUUUAAGCCAUGAACUUACAAACUGGACAUGCAUCCCAGAGCUGAAAAGCUCUCUGCAUGCACCUCUCAAGUGUGGAGUGCAAAUUUUCAGCGCUGGUGACAUGCUCAGGCUGUGAGAAAAUUUGGAUCUCCCUUGGCUUUGCAUCAUUAAAGAAAAGUGAGCAGCUGUACAUAUGUCUGCAGGUAUGGUGGAGAUAGCUUCCACAUGUGGCAUUUGUCCUUUUGCUAAAUUAGUUAUGGAAGCAGACUCCAAGGAAAAAGGUUGCUUGGGCAAAAACAAGCAAAUAUAGUAGAGGUGCUUCUGGUUUCAUCCCAUCUACCACUGCAAACACACUAUAAGCACAGUGCAUGCAAGGGGUCAGGUGAAUGUGGUGCAUGGACACGAAACUGAGCACUGCCAGUACUUCAGCAGAGGUUAGUGACACGCAGAGAACUAGUGGCAAGCACUUAUGCAGCCAUCAUACCUUAAAUGAAUGGCAGUGGUAAGAGAAUUCUGUUGUGUACUGGUAACGAACAGCUGCAAAUUGAAUUGUGUAGGCUUAUGUUGAACAAACGAGUGUAUUAGAUUAGUUUCCAACAUUUGAAUGUACAGCUGUCAACACCUUGUACCAGUUGUUUGGGAAGUGUUGGCAUAUUUUAACACUUUUUUACAAUGGUGCAAUCACUUUUAUUUGUAACCUUGUUUUACACUCUUUCCUUUGUAUUUUUGGACCUGUGCUACUUUUUGAUGGUGGUUAGCAGCAACCCGACUUUAAUGCUAGCUGGUGAGGCCGUUGUGAUGAUACUAACUGGGGGAGCCACCUCUGUGGCACUGCUUCUUUCACAUCUAUAUGACUGUAGGAGGAUUCAUUGGGUGAUGUCUCAGAGCAGCCGCACUCCGUGCCACGUGAUAGAGCAUCUAUUUGAGAAACUUGUGCGACUAAAGCAAAAUUUCCAGUUAUUGCGUAUCCAGUGCAGUGUUUGACUGUGUACAUAGAAAGUUGUGCAUGUCUGCAAAUCAUAUGUGCAGUAAGACGGCCAAAAAGAAAAAAUGCAUUUUACAUUGUUUUAGUGAAUAGUCACAAUAUGUGCAGUGGCCUUAUUUCAAUGUACGACUACUGUGAUUGCACCCACUCCUAAGAAUGGUUCCUGCUAAGAACAUAUUUGUUGAGAUUUCCUUGUAAACAUUAUCAGCCAGACUUCUGUCUACUAAGUCAGCAGAAUGAGUUCUUUGGCUUUGUUGUGCUAGUUUUGUAGACCGUAAGCAUGUUUUUAUGUAGGCCAUCAUCUGCAGUGUAUAUCAUGAAAUAGUCAAACCACAAUAUAAUGAACUUCAAUAUAAUGAAAUUCUCGACAUAACAAAGUAUUUAACUUUCUAUAAGUUCUUGUCUGUAGAACACCAUGUAUUUAGAACCUCAAUAUAAUGAAGUGUGUUCACAUACAAUUUCAAUAUAUUGCGAUUUCACUGUCGCUGCGAAGGAAUAACAAAGAAUACCGAGACAAUAAAUAGAAGCCUGUGGGGACGCAAAUGGUUGAAUUACAUGUGACUGCUUGCAAACGCACAUCUCAAAUUGCAUGGCAGGCAACCAAGAGCGAUCACCGAAGCAUAGCAGUGUCAUGUUUCGUAUAAAGUCUAAAUGCUAUUAGAUCCUAUCGCACCCCACGCUGUAUGCAUUGAGCGCAAGUGAAAGUGUGCAAGGGUGAGGCGAGUAGGAUGGUGGUUUGAUGAGCGCUUUCUUUAUGCACCAGAAAUGUGAGGGGGGGGGGGGGGGGAAGCAGAGCGAGCUC
RNAcentral lists this unclassified non-coding RNA (7079 nucleotides) under Dermacentor andersoni. RNAcentral describes it as "carboxypeptidase D-like". Lineage: Eukaryota; Metazoa; Arthropoda; Arachnida; Ixodida; Ixodidae. The record is from RNAcentral.